GACGAACGCUGGCGGCGUGCUUAACACAUGCAAGUCGAGCGGUAAGGCCCUUUCGGGGGUACACGAGCGGCGAACGGGUGAGUAACACGUGGGUGACCUGCCCUCAGCUCUGGGAUAAGCCUGGGAAACUGGGUCUAAUACCGGAUAUGACUCCAUGACGCAUGUUGUGGGGUGGAAAGCCUUGUGCGGCUGAGGAUGGGCCCGCGGCCUAUCAGCUUGUUGGUGGGGUGANGGGCCUACCAAGGCGACGACGGGUAGCCGGCCUGAGAGGGCGACCGGCCACACUGGGACUGAGACACGGCCCAGACUCCUACGGGAGGCAGCAGUGGGGAAUUUGGGCAAUGGGCGAAAGCCUGACCCAGCAACGCCGCGUGAAGGAUGAAAUUUUUCGGAAUGUAAACUUCGCAAGAACAGGAAGAAUAAGU
Molecule: ribosomal RNA, 425 nt
Filed under: uncultured bacterium
Lineage: Bacteria
Description: bacterial SSU rRNA
Rfam family: Bacterial small subunit ribosomal RNA
Source: RNAcentral